Non-coding RNA from Gossypium hirsutum (cotton), 107 nucleotides. NCBI's taxonomy places the organism in Eukaryota, Viridiplantae, Streptophyta, Magnoliopsida, Malvales, Malvaceae. The record is from Rfam.
AGCCCAUGGUGAGGACACCUUUUCAAUAAAUCUUUAAAUCUUUUCAAUUUGUCAUAAAGGGUCUUAAUAUCAAGUUGAACAAAAGGAGAGAUGCCAUUCCUCAACUU